Molecule: ribosomal RNA, 461 nt
Filed under: uncultured bacterium
Lineage: Bacteria
Description: bacterial SSU rRNA
Rfam family: Bacterial small subunit ribosomal RNA
Source: RNAcentral
UCGUACGACGAGUUUGAUCAUGGCUCAGAAUGAACGCUGGCGGCAGGCCUAACACAUGCAAGUCGAACGGGUCCUUCGGGACUAGUGGCGGACGGGUGAGUAACGCGUGGGAACAUACCCAAAGGUACGGAAUAGCCUCGGGAAACUGAGAGUAAUACCGUAUGUGCCCUUCGGGGGAAAGAUUUAUCGCCUUUGGAUUGGCCCGCGUUGGAUUAGGUAGUUGGUGGGGUAAUGGCCUACCAAGCCGACGAUCCAUAGCUGGUUUGAGAGGAUGAUCAGCCACACUGGGACUGAGACACGGCCCAGACUCCUACGGGAGGCAGCAGUGGGGAAUCUUAGACAAUGGGGGAAACCCUGAUCUAGCCAUGCCGCGUGAUCGAUGAAGGCCUUAGGGUUGUAAAGAUCUUUCAGAUGGGAAGAUAAUGACGGUACCAUCAGAAGAAGCCCCGGCUAACUCCGUG